GAUGAACGCUGGCGGCGUGCCUAAUACAUGCAAGUCGAGCGAACGGACGAGAAGCUUGCUUCUCUGAUGUUAGCGGCGGACGGGUGAGUAACACGUGGAUAACCUACCUAUAAGACUGGGAUAACUUCGGGAAACCGGAGCUAAUACCGGAUAAUAUUUUGAACCGCAUGGUUCAAAAGUGAAAGACGGUCUUGCUGUCACUUAUAGAUGGAUCUGCGCUGCAUUAGCUAGUUGGUAAGGUAACGGCUUACCAAGGCAACGAUGCAUAGCCGACCUGAGAGGGUGAUCGGCAACACUGGAACUGAGACACGGUCCAGACUCCUACGGAAGGCAGCCGUAGGGAAUCUUCCGCAAUGGGCGAAAGCCUGACGGAGCAACGCCGCGUGAGUGAUGAAGGUCUUCGGAUCGUAAAACUCUGUUAUUAGGGAAGAACAUAUGUGUAAGUAACUGUGCACAUCUUGACGGUACCUAAUCAGAAAGCCACGGCUAACUACGUG
This 497-nucleotide ribosomal RNA is filed under the name uncultured bacterium. Its description in RNAcentral is "partial 16S ribosomal RNA". It matches the Rfam family "Bacterial small subunit ribosomal RNA", at positions 28 to 507 of the family's 1533-position model. The record is from RNAcentral.